GUACACACCGCCCGUCGCUACUACCGAUUGAAUGGCUCAGUGAGGCGUUCGGACUGGCUCGGAGAGGUUGGCAACGACCACUCCGAGCCGGAAAGUUCGUCAAACUCGGUCAUUUAGAGGAAGUAAAAGUCGUAACAAGGUUUCCGUAGGUGAACCUGCGGAAGGAUCAUUAC
Molecule: ribosomal RNA, 173 nt
Filed under: Didymella americana
Lineage: Eukaryota; Fungi; Ascomycota; Dothideomycetes; Pleosporales; Didymellaceae
Description: partial 18S ribosomal RNA
Rfam family: Eukaryotic small subunit ribosomal RNA
Source: RNAcentral